Molecule: ribosomal RNA, 395 nt
Filed under: Scopulariopsis brevicaulis (arsenic fungus)
Lineage: Eukaryota; Fungi; Ascomycota; Sordariomycetes; Microascales; Microascaceae
Description: eukaryotic LSU rRNA
Rfam family: Eukaryotic large subunit ribosomal RNA
Source: RNAcentral
GAAUCAGAGUCGAGUGUUUGGGAAUGUUGCUCAAAAUGGGAGGUAAACCCCUUCUAAAGCUAAAUACUGGCCAGAGACCGAUAGCGCACAAGUAGAGUGAUCGAAAGAUGAAAAGCACUUUGAAAAGAGAGUUAAAAAGCACGUGAAAUUGUUAAAAGGGAAGCGCUUGCGACCAGACUUGCGCCCGUCGGAUCAACCGUCGCUUGCGGCGGCGCACUCCGGCGGGCUCAGGCCAGCAUCAGUUCGUCCGGGGGGAGAAAGGCGGCGGGAAUGUGGCUCUUCGGAGUGUUAUAGCCCGCCGUGUAAUACCCUCGGGUGGACUGAGGACCGCGCGUAUGCAAGGAUGCUGGCGUAAUGGUCGUCACCGACCCGUCUUGAAACACGGACCCGACCCG